Molecule: ribosomal RNA, 497 nt
Filed under: uncultured bacterium
Lineage: Bacteria
Description: partial 16S ribosomal RNA
Rfam family: Bacterial small subunit ribosomal RNA
Source: RNAcentral
GAUGAACGCUGGCGGCGUGCCUAAUACAUGCAAGUCGAGCGAACGGACGAGAAGCUUGCUUCUCUGAUGUUAGCGGCGGACGGGUGAGUAACACGUGGAUAACCUACCUAUAAGACUGGGAUAACUUCGGGAAACCGGAGCUAAUACCGGAUAAUAUUUUGAACCGCAUGGUUCAACAAUAAAAUACGGUCUUGCUGUCACUUAUAGAUGGAUCCGCGCUGCAUUAGCUAGUUGGUAAGGUAACGGCUUACCAAGGCAACGAUGCAUAGCCGGCCUGAGAGGGUGAUCGGCCACACUGGAACUGAGACACGGUCCAGACUCCUACGGGAGGCAGCAGUAGGGAAUCUGACGCAAUGGGCGAAAGCCUGACGGAGCAACGCCGCGUGAGUGAUGAAGGUCUUCGGAUCGUAAAACUCUGUUAUGAGGGAAGAACAUAUGUGUAAGUAACUGUGCACAUCUUGACGGUACCUAAUCAGAAAGCCACGGCUAACUACGUG